GAGCAGCUCUGCCCAUCUUCACAGAGAUGUCAGUGUUUCAUCCCUUGCAGAUAUCUGGGUAUUCAGCAUGCUUUUCUGUGGCUACAGAAAUGAAUCUAAGCAAACAAAAAGGCAGAGAACUAAUUUCCAAGAGGAGAUAAAUCAUCUAUUCAAGCUUCUUUUUGCAAGUGGAAUGAGCCACAGAAAGAGAGAGACACUGACAUUUAAUGUGAUCCAACCUAUCAACAGAGGAUGAAUUCGCUUGGAUUUAAAACAAGAUACAUAUAUGGGAGACAGUAAGAGGUUAUUAGCUAAAAGCCACAUCUCUGGGGAUGUUCAGCUCUCCUGCAGAUGCAGAGGCUCAGAUGAGCUGGAAGCAAAAUAAGCCUGAUGAUGAUCAAAACAUCAGA
This 389-nucleotide long non-coding RNA is filed under the name Vombatus ursinus (common wombat). RNAcentral's name for it is "lncRNA (ENSVURG00010014563.1)". The record is from RNAcentral. Lineage: Eukaryota; Metazoa; Chordata; Mammalia; Diprotodontia; Vombatidae.